Myotis davidii is the source of this 98-nucleotide long non-coding RNA. RefSeq lists it as uncharacterized. The record is from RefSeq and is a predicted model, not a curated record. The transcript has 3 exons. NCBI's taxonomy places the organism in Eukaryota, Metazoa, Chordata, Mammalia, Chiroptera, Vespertilionidae.
CUGCGUUACCUUAGAUCAGGAUCUACAAAAGGAGCAGGUUUGGGCAUAUUUGAAGACUGAUACGAAAACAGGAGCUGGGAAUAUAAUGAUGAACCAAA